GAUGAACGCUGGCGGCGUGCCUAAUACAUGCAAGUCGAACGAACACAUGAGGUGCUUGCUCCUCUCACGCUAGCGGCGAACGGGUGAGUAACACGUGGGUAACCUGCCUAUAAGACUGGGAUAACUUCCGGAAACCGGAGCUAAUACCGGAUAAUAUAUUGAACCGCAUGGUUCAAUGGUGAAAAGCGGUGUUGCUUUCACCUAUUGAUUGAUCCGGGGCUGCUUAGCGAGUUGGUAAGGUAACGGCCUACCAAGGCAACGAUGCGUAACCGACCUGAGAGGGUGAUCGGCCAAACUGGAACUGAGACACGGUCCAGACGCCUAAGGGAGGCAGCAGUAGGGAAUCUUCCGCAAAGGGCGAAAGCCUGACGGAGCAACGCCGCGUGAGUGAUGAAGGUCUUCGGAUCGUAAAACUCUGUUAUUAGGGAAGAACAAAUGUGUAAGUAACUAUGCACGUCUUGACGGUACAUAAUCAGAAAGCCACGGCUAACUACGUG
RNAcentral lists this ribosomal RNA (497 nucleotides) under uncultured bacterium. RNAcentral describes it as "partial 16S ribosomal RNA". It matches the Rfam family "Bacterial small subunit ribosomal RNA", at positions 28 to 507 of the family's 1533-position model. The record is from RNAcentral.